AACGCAUAUGGCACCCCUUGGCGCAUGCCGCGGGGUAUGCCUGUUUGAGAAUCAUUUCACCACCUCUGACCGGUGCUGCACCGGCGGGACCUGGGCCUUCAGCACUGAUCGCCCCGAAUGCACGUGCGCGGUCGUGAUAGCAUCGUUGUUGAUCGACCGGGCACACCUUGUCGAUGAUCUCAAAUCAGGCAGGACGACCCGCUGAACUUAA
This 211-nucleotide unclassified non-coding RNA is filed under the name uncultured fungus. RNAcentral describes it as "partial contains 5.8S ribosomal RNA, internal transcribed spacer 2, and large subunit ribosomal RNA". Lineage: Eukaryota; Fungi. The record is from RNAcentral.